AUUGAACGCUGGCGGCAUGCCUUACACAUGCAAGUCGAACGGUAACAGGGAGCUUGCUCCGCUGACGAGUGGCGAACGGGUGAGUAAUAUAUCGGAACGUACCAUUGAGUGGGGGAUAACGUAGCGAAAGUUGCGCUAAUACCGCAUAUUCUCUCCGGAGGAAAGCAGGGGACCGCAAGGCCUUGCGCUCAUUGAGCGGCCGAUAUCAGAUUAGCUAGUUGGUGGGGUAAAAGCUCACCAAGGCGACGAUCUGUAGCGGGUCUGAGAGGAUGAUCCGCCACACUGGAACUGAGACACGGUCCAGACUCCUACGGGAGGCAGCAGUGGGGAAUAUUGGGCAAUGGGCGGAAGCCUGACCCAGCAACGCCGCGUGAGGGAAGAAGGUUUUCGGAUUGUAAACCUCUGUUCUUGGGGAAGAGGAGGAGACGGUACCCAAAGGACGGAAGCCCCGGAUAACUACGUGCCAGCAAGCCGGGUAAACCUGUAGUCGU
This 491-nucleotide ribosomal RNA is filed under the name uncultured bacterium. Its description in RNAcentral is "bacterial SSU rRNA". It matches the Rfam family "Bacterial small subunit ribosomal RNA", at positions 30 to 534 of the family's 1533-position model. The record is from RNAcentral.